Molecule: ribosomal RNA, 467 nt
Filed under: uncultured bacterium
Lineage: Bacteria
Description: partial 16S ribosomal RNA
Rfam family: Bacterial small subunit ribosomal RNA
Source: RNAcentral
GAUGAACGCUGGCGGCGUGCUUAACACAUGCAAGUCGAACGGUGAAGGCGGAGCUUGCUCUGCUGGAUCAGUGGCGAACGGGUGAGUAACACGUGAGCAAUCUGCCCCUGACUCUGGGAUAAGCGCUGGAAACGGCGUCUAAUACUGGAUACGAGCUGCGAAGGCAUCUUCAGCAGCUGGAAAGAAUUUCGGUCAGGGAUGAGCUCGCGGCCUAUCAGCUUGUUGGUGAGGUAAUGGCUCACCAAGGCGUCGACGGGUAGCCGGCCUGAGAGGGUGACCGGCCACACUGGGACUGAGACACGGCCCAGACUCCUACGGGAGGCAGCAGUGGGGAAUAUUGCACAAUGGGUGAAAGCCUGAUGCAGCAACGCCGCGUGAGGGACGACGGCCUUCGGGUUGUAAACCUCUUUUAGCAGGGAAGAAGCGAAAGUGACGGUACCUGCAGAAAAAGCGCCGGCUAACUACGU